GCCAACCAUCUCAACCUACUCUCUCUCUCAUUUUGGUUCUCAACCUUAAUUGUUUCCAACCAAGUUCUUUAGGUCUAUCUCUUGAUCUUUUUGCCCCAUUAACUAUAUAAUAUUAUCACUUUACUUAAUCAAUACUCUGAAAGGUCUCCGUUGUAACAUGGCCAACCAUCUAAACCUACUCUCUCUCAUUUUUAUUCUCAAUAUGAGCAACCAUUAAUCUCACUCAUUUAUUAUCCUAUCUUUUAGCAUAUAUCCACAAGAUCAUCAUAGCGUUCUCAUUGCUGCCACUCAUUUUCUGCCCAUGUUGAUUUUUGAGUGCCCAGCAUUCUGUUGUCAUAUCAUAUCAGCCUCAACCUUCUAAUCAGAGUUUGACGUAUUAGCUGCAUAUGGAUUUUUUAACAAUUCGUUUCAGAUGUAGCCAAAACCUGCAGACCCUGUCCAUAUUGGCUAAUAAUGAUUAAUGCAUGAAGAAAUUUGAGGUUUGAAGUAUCAAAGUUUGAUUUUGAGAUUAAAAAAAAUAAAUUAGAGACAACGAAGCUUGUGAUUAAACUAACUUAUUCCGUGUACAAUGAUUCUAAUGCAAGAUUUCCACCAAAACUCCCAAAUUAGAUGCCAAAAAUGCAAAACAGGACCACAACAACAUCUAGAUUCCAAACCUUGCUUCUAAAACUGCGAAAACAUCUCGCGAACUGCAGGAGAGUUCAAAGUUGUGAGGUUUUUACUUUACCCUUUAUAGCCAUUGGCUCAUUUUCGUUGUGUUAUUGUUAAGCAUUAACAAAUAUUUAUAGACUUUGAGGUGCAAGAUUUUGUGCAGCCAGUUGGAAUCAAAUUUAAAUGCAUUAGUAUUAUCUCUUCAAUUGAAACCUCUGGAAUAGAACCACUAGUCUUGUUACUCCCAAAAAAGAACCACAGAUCUUUCUUGCUUCUAAUAGCUGUCACACUUAAGCUCCUGAACUUUGUGCCUAUUUAACUAGCGCUAAGCAUGGUUCUUUUCUUCAUGAGAUUUCUCAUUUACAGGUGUCUCAAUCUAAAAUCAUCUCUCCAUCCUUUUGUCCAUGUGUGUUUUAGGGCUUUAUUUCAACAUUUUCCCAGUUCAAAGCUUUCCGGUCUUGUAUUUACCUUUCCUUUAACCUGCUAGGAUUUGUCAUAGCGGGCAGCAUAGUAUAAAAGCGAAAAUGAUUAGAUUGAAGUUUCCAAACAAAGAGAGACAAUCUGGAAUCCACCAAAAGGCUUGAAUCCACAAGGCAACUUGCAUCCACCAAAGGGCUCCAAGUUCUUGAAAUGUGUGAAAGGUUCUGAAUAAUAUGGGAGAAAUACUGAAAGCUGGUGGUGCCAGCUAUUUGUUGGUUGUUAAGACGACCAUCAUGUUGGUGGUGACCUAAAGGAUUUCAAGAAAGUGAAUGAGAUUUAUGGGAAAUGUGAGUUUCGCGGAGUAAAAUAGUUUCUAUUUGGCCUUAACUAAAUGGUUCAUUGUUUGUAGGGUUGCUUACUGAAACUAAAUGUUUUUGUAACCAACUGUUUUCUAUAAAAAAGUGUUUCUUUUCUACCCCCGAAGAAGGAAGUUUGACGUCUAUUUUUUAUCACUCCAACUGGCUUAGAUGCUUUUUCAUCUCAUAAUUUAUCCUUAUUGUGAAAGAACUGUCAGUAGAUGCUCUUUGCAAACUGUUUUCUGUUUUAUUUUGUAAUUUAUACGUUCUUUUAAUGCACAUCAAUUCUUUCAUAAA
Molecule: long non-coding RNA, 1724 nt
Organism: Asparagus officinalis (garden asparagus)
Lineage: Eukaryota; Viridiplantae; Streptophyta; Magnoliopsida; Asparagales; Asparagaceae
Exons: 3
Source: RefSeq, a predicted model, not a curated record